CUACUGUUAUAGCGCCACCUAUGGUCUGAUCUCCAUGAAACUUUGCAUGCUUGUUAAGAGUCACCUGUUACAUGAUUUCACUGAGUUUCAUAAAGUUUUGAGUUUUCCUUUAGGUUUUAUAGGCUUUGGGGUAUGUUUGGCCACACCCCUUUUUCUAAAUUACCCUUUUACAGCUAACCAAAGGACAAAAUUCAACAUUUUUUUAAUAAUUAUUGAUCUAGAGAGUCCACAGAAUAUUACUGCAGUGGUUUGGUUCCGAUCGGACAAAAAACCUAGGACUAGUUCGCAAAAGUAGGUUUUUAACAUAUUUGUGAAUAACAAUUGAAUGAUUUGAUUGACAGCAAUGGUUCUUGAGGCAAAGUUGUGCAUUAUGAGGAGAUCUAUCAAAUGAUAUGCAUAUUGUGUUGAUAUGUGAAACACCACGUGAUUACAGAGCCAUAAAACUCGUUAGCGCCAACUAGUGGCCGAUUUCUUUCAAAAUUCUUACAGACCUUAAGGUUCAUGAGUCGAACGUACCCAGUGAGUUUCGUUCCGAUCAACAUCCGUUAACCCUUUCAAAUAGGUGCUUAAAUUUGUUUGGCCAAUGGCGGCCAUGUUUUUUGAGAUAUGCAAAUGUCCUCAUAGGUACUUGUGCCCCUUCAGACCAAGACACUGCAUACCGAUUUUCAAGUCGAUCGAGCCAACGGUUGCCUAGUUAUAGCAAUUUAUGUGUUUUUUCUAUCUUAUAGCGCCCCCAAGUGGCAGAGAUGCGCAAUUUUUUUGA
Molecule: long non-coding RNA, 763 nt
Organism: Carassius gibelio (silver crucian carp)
Lineage: Eukaryota; Metazoa; Chordata; Actinopteri; Cypriniformes; Cyprinidae
Exons: 4
Source: RefSeq, a predicted model, not a curated record